AAAAUCUAAACCUGAAAACUAUAGGCCCAUCUCUCUAACCUGUAUUCUUAGUAAAUCACUAGAACAUAUAAUUGUAUCAUCCAUAAUGAAACAUCUAGACAUUCACGAUUUACUAUACCCACUGCAGCAUGGUUUUAGAUCAAAAGUUAGCUGUGAAACACAACUUUUAACUUUUACACAGCAAAUACUUGAUUACAUGGCAAACGGUAAACAAACUGACGUAGUUGUCAUGGAUUUUUCAAAAGCGUUUGAUAAGGUGGACCACCAAAGACUUAUCCUAAAACUGAAACGCAUGGGAAUAAAUAACAAAACAACAAAUUGGAUAGAGGCAUGGUUAUCACAUAGAUCCCAAAAAGUGGUGGUUGACAGUCGCACAUCAAAUAGUUGUCCUGUAUUGUCAGGCGUCCCCAAGGCUCUGUUCUCGGGCCAUGUCUGUUCUUAAUUUACAUCAAUGACAUGCCAGACAACCUCAAAAGUAAUGUUCGCCUCUUUGCAGAUGACACUAUUGUGUAUCUAACAAUUUCAUCAUUAGAUGACUGUCACACCCUUCAAUCAGACCUACAUAAACUGGAACAAUGGGAGCAAGAAUGGCUUAUGUCCUUUAACCCAGACAAAUGUGAAAUCAUCCACAUAACAAGAAAACAUAAACCAAUCAUCUAUAAAUACACAUUACAUAAUCAUAUUCUAAAAUCAACAAACAAAGCAAAAUAUCUUGGCGUUUCCAUCACAAAAGACCUGACAUGGAACUCUCAUAUAAAUGACAUCACAAACAAAGCAAACGCAUCACUGAGAUUUAUUAAAAGAAAUGUAAAAACAAACAGCAUAAAAACAAAAGAACUGGCUUACAAAACAUACGUAAGACCAAAAAUAGAAUACUGUAGUGUCGUCUGGGACCCUGGCAGAAACAACAAAUACAUAAAAAUUGAAAUGGUACAGAGAAGAGCUGCCAGGUAUACACUCAACCAAUACAGCUAUCAAAGCAGUGUAACAGCCAUGCUUGAACAUCUAAGAUGGCCAACAUUACAACAAAGAAGAAAUCUUGCAUCCGUCACCAUGCUAUAUAAAAUCCAACACCAAUUAGUCUCCAUCCCAGUAAAUACAUACCUAAUACCAUCUAAGGAACAUAAAUUUAUACAGCCAUUCUCUCCCACAAACUAUCAUUUAUAUUCAUUUUUUCCUAGAACAAUAAGGUUGUGGAAUUCCCUACCAUACCAAG
Molecule: long non-coding RNA, 1216 nt
Filed under: Mytilus galloprovincialis (Mediterranean mussel)
Lineage: Eukaryota; Metazoa; Mollusca; Bivalvia; Mytilida; Mytilidae
Source: RNAcentral